This 1678-nucleotide ribosomal RNA is filed under the name Cylindrotheca closterium. RNAcentral describes it as "bacterial LSU rRNA". The stretch from base 235 to 1678 matches the Rfam family "Bacterial large subunit ribosomal RNA". Lineage: Eukaryota; Bacillariophyta; Bacillariophyceae; Bacillariales; Bacillariaceae. The record is from RNAcentral.
UUAAUUUGACUCAACACGGGAAAACUUACCAGGUCCAGACAUAGUGAGGAUUGACAGAUUGAGAGCUCUUUCUUGAUUCUAUGGGUGGUGGUGCAUGGCCGUUCUUAGUUGGUGGAGUGAUUUGUCUGGUUAAUUCCGUUAACGAACGAGACCCCUGCCUGCUAAAUAGGUUGCCUAGUGAAUUUCACUGGGUGAAUCUUCUUAGAGGGACGUGCAUUCUAUUAGAUGCAGGAAGAUAGGGGCAAUAACAGGUCUGUGAUGCCCUUAGAUGUCCUGGGCCGCACGCGCGCUACACUGAUGCAUUCAACGAGUUCUACCUUGGCCGAGAGGCCUGGGCAAUCUUUUGAACCUGCAUCGUGAUAGGGAUAGAUUAUUGCAAUUAUUAAUCUUGAACGAGGAAUUCCUAGUAAACGCAGAUCAUCAAUCUGCAUUGAUUACGUCCCUGCCCUUUGUACACACCGCCCGUCGCACCUACCGAUUGAAUGGUCCGGUGAAGCCUCGGGAUUGUGGCGAGUUCCCUUUAUUGGGAGUUUGUCGCGAGAACUUGUCUAAACCUUAUCAUUUAGAGGAAGGUGAAGUCGUAACAAGGCAAAGUUGUCACAAAAUCGGGGACAGCGACUGUUUAAUAAAAACACAGGUUUCUGCUAAUUUGUAAAAGAUGUAUUGAAACUGACGCCUGCCCAGUGCUGUAAGAUUAAAGGAAGAGGUCUUUUGGCUUUGACCCUAACCCCCAGUAAACGGCGGCUGUAACUCUGACGGUCCUAAGGUAGCGAAAUUCCUUGGCAUUUAAUUGGUGUCCUGCAUGAAUGGCGUAACGACUGUCCCACUGUCUCCAACGUAAACUCAGUGAAAUUGAAUUUUCCGUGAAGAUGCGGAAUUCCUGCGGCUAGACGGAAAGACCCCGUGCACCUUUACUGCAGUUAUAUAUUGUAAUGUAAAUUUUUUUGUGUAGAAUAAGUGGGAAAUUGUUAAUAUCUGUUUACACAAGUAAAUAAGUUAAAUAUCGUUGAAAUACCACUCUGUAAAAUUUUUCAUUACUUAUUUUAUUAAAAGACAGUGUAUAAUGGGUAGUUUGACUGGGGCGGUCGCCUCCUAAAGAGUAACGGAGGCGUGCAAAGGUAGAUUUGAGUUGAACUAGAACAACUUUAAAGCAUAAUAGUAUAUAUUUGCCUGACUGUAAGAUUGACAAAUCAAGCAGGGACGAAAGUCGGUUAUAGUGAUCCGGUGAUUCUGAGUGGAAAAGGUCACCGCUCAACGAAUAAAAGGUACGCCGGGGAUAACAGGCUAAUCACCCUCUAGAGACCAUAUCGACGGGGUGGUUUGGCACCUCGAUGUUGGAUUAUCGCAUCCUGGAGCUGUAGGCGGUUCCAAGGGUUUGGCUGUUCGCCAAUGAAGGCGGUACAUGAUCUGAGUUUAGAACGUUGUGAAACAGUUUGGUCCCUAUCUACCGUAGGUGUAGAAAAUUGAGAGGAGUAAACCCUAGUACGAGAGGACCGGGAAAAGUAAAUCCCUGGUGAAUCGAUUGUUAUACCAAUAGCAUAGUCGAGUAGCUACAUUUAUAAUAAAUAAUCACUGAAAGCAUCUAAGUGAGAAAUUAGCCUCAAUACAGAUUUUCUUAAAAAUGUAAUAGACUAUUACAUAGAUAGGCUUGGUGUGUAAGAGUUGUAAGACUUUUAGC